AGUGAACGCUGGCGGUAGGCCUAACACAUGCAAGUCGAACGGCAGCACAGUAAGAGCUUGCUCUUACGGGUGGCGAGUGGCGGACGGGUGAGGAAUAUAUCGGAAUCUACUUUUUCGUGGGGGAUAACGUAGGGAAACUUACGCUAAUACCGCAUACGACCUACGGGUGAAAGCAGGGGAUCUUCGGACCUUGCGCGAUUGAAUGAGCCGAUGUCGGAUUAGCUAGUUGGCGGGGUAAAUGCCCACCAAGGCGACGAUCCGUAGCUGGUCUGAGAGGAUGAUCAGCCACACUGGAACUGAGACACGGUCCAGACUCCUACGGGAGGCAGCAGUGGGGAAUAUUGGACAAUGGGCGCAAGCCUGAUCCAGCCAUACCGCGUGGGUGAAGAAGGCCUUCGGGUUGUAAAGCCCUUUUGUUGGGAAAGAAAAGCAGCAGGUUAAUACCCCGCUGUUCUGACGGUACCCAAAGAAUAAGCACCGGCUAACUUCGUG
RNAcentral lists this ribosomal RNA (492 nucleotides) under uncultured bacterium. Its description in RNAcentral is "partial 16S ribosomal RNA". It matches the Rfam family "Bacterial small subunit ribosomal RNA", at positions 29 to 507 of the family's 1533-position model. The record is from RNAcentral.